Long non-coding RNA from Mesocricetus auratus (golden hamster), 849 nucleotides. RefSeq lists it as uncharacterized. The transcript is spliced from 2 exons. NCBI's taxonomy places the organism in Eukaryota, Metazoa, Chordata, Mammalia, Rodentia, Cricetidae. The record is from RefSeq and is a predicted model, not a curated record.
ACUGCUGAGAAACUGGGACACGAGACAUUUAGUCACUUGGCCCAAAUUCUUACGGGGCUUUUAGGAGACCUUCACUUCAGCUCUCCUCCCUGGGCCGGCUCUCAGCUCUUCAGGGUUCUGCGCCAGCUCUCCUCUUGCUUCAGGUUUUCAUUCAAACGGCCAACGGUGCUGAAACUUCUGGUUAGACAGUGGCAGAGGAUAGACACCCUCAGAGGCUCGGAGCAGAUCACUGUAUUUCCAGUACUUGAGAGGACGAGGCAAGAAGACCACAGGCAUGUUCCUGGCUAGCCUGGGCUACAGAGUGACCUUUGAUAGUACCCGCUCCUUGACACGAUCAUCCACGUGUCCUCUGGAGGCACACUUCUUCCCACAUGUGACACCCAGCUGGGUGCAGGAAUUUUGCUAGAGGAAUCAGCCUCAAAAUAUCAAGAUGACACAUAAUCAAGUCAAGACGGCUGCUCAGCCUUCUCCACUCAAGAUGGGAGAGUUUUUCAAACCCUGGAGCACAGGAGAUGGCUAAUAAGGAGAUAAGGCCCUUUACCAGGAGUUCAGUUUAAGGUCUUAUCACCACCACACCGGAACAUAAGGCUAGGAAGAGGAAGAGGAAGUCCCUGAACUGACCUGGGACAUUUGUACCACUAAGAAGAGACGUGUAGUAGCCAGAAAUCUCUGACAUGGACCACAGAUUACACCCUAAGACUGUGUGAGGGAGUGUCUGACACAGCUUUGAAGAGAACCCCUGAAAGGCUUCCAGCCACCCAGAUGUCGUAGCUCCAGAAUAAACUCACUUGAGAGACGUCCUUGGCCCAGAGAAGAAAAGCUAAUUAAGAUUAAAGAGGUGGAACCUGA